AUUGAACGCUGGCGGCAUGCCUUACACAUGCAAGUCGAACGGCAGCGCGGGGCAACCUGGCGGCGAGUGGCGAACGGGUGAGUAACAUAUCGGAACAUACCCUAGAGUGGGGGAUAACGUAGCGAAAGUUACGCUAAUACCGCAUACGCACUAAGGUGGAAAGUGGGGGAUUCGCAAGAACCUCAUGCUCAUGGAGUGGCCGAUAUCUGAUUAGCUAGUUGGUGAGGUAAAGGCUCACCAAGGCGACGAUCAGUAGCUGGUUUGAGAGAACGACCAGCCACACUGGAACUGAGACACGGUCCAGACUCCUACGGGAGGCAGCAGUGGGGAAUUUUGGACAAUGGGGGCAACCCUGAUCCAGCAAUGCCGCGUGAGUGAAGAAGGCCU
This 387-nucleotide ribosomal RNA is filed under the name uncultured bacterium. Its description in RNAcentral is "bacterial SSU rRNA". It matches the Rfam family "Bacterial small subunit ribosomal RNA", at positions 30 to 417 of the family's 1533-position model. The record is from RNAcentral.